UACAGAGGGGGCGAGCGUUGUUCGGAAUUACUGGGCGUAAAGGGCGCGUAGGCGGCCCGCUAAGUCGAACGUGAAAUCCCCAGGCUCAACCUGGGAACUGCGUCCGAUACUGGCAGGCUUGAAUCCGGGAGAGGGAUGUGGAAUUCCAGGUGUAGCGGUGAAAUGCGUAGAUAUCGAGAGGAACACCAGUGGCGAAGGCGGCUCACUGGGCACCACCUGACGCUGAGGCGCGAAAGCGUGGGGAGCGAACCGG
RNAcentral lists this ribosomal RNA (253 nucleotides) under uncultured bacterium. RNAcentral's name for it is "partial 16S ribosomal RNA". It matches the Rfam family "Bacterial small subunit ribosomal RNA", at positions 524 to 776 of the family's 1533-position model. The record is from RNAcentral.